This 314-nucleotide unclassified non-coding RNA is filed under the name plant metagenome. RNAcentral's name for it is "partial contains 5.8S ribosomal RNA, internal transcribed spacer 2, and large subunit ribosomal RNA". The stretch from base 1 to 105 matches the Rfam family "5.8S ribosomal RNA", at positions 50 to 154 of the family's 154-position model. The record is from RNAcentral.
GAAAUGCGAUAAUUAAUGUGAAUUGCAGAAUUCAGUGAAUCAUCGAGUCUUUGAACGCACAUUGCGCCCCCUGGUAUUCCGGGGGGCAUGCCUGUCCGAGCGUCAUUGCUGCCCUCAAGCACGGCUUGUGUGUUGGGCUUCCGUCCCUGGCAACGGGGACGGGCCCAAAAGGCAGUGGCGGCACCAUGUCUGGUCCUCGAGCGUAUGGGGCUUUGUCACCCGCUCCCGUAGGUCCAGCUGGCAGCUAGCCUCGCAACCAAUCUUUUUAACCAGGUUGACCUCGGAUCAGGUAGGGAUACCCGCUGAACUAAAGC